UUCAUCCAUCAGUCAACGUCAAAGUGAAGUCGAUAAAUAUUGUAAAAUAAUUCUAAAUUAAAUAAAAUAUUGCAAUGGACAAGGAAUUGACUGGUGGCGGAGCUGGUGAAUAUUUAUACCUCGAAAAUGCCUCGAAACGGAACUUUUGAGUGUAUCAUAAGUUUGCUGGGAAGCGCGGCCAGCAGCUUUGAAGUACCAUUUGGUGGUGAUAACAGUGAUAAUAACGGUGAAGAAACUUAAUAUUAAUAAAAGAAACCUUUAAGUAUA
This is a long non-coding RNA of Ostrinia nubilalis (European corn borer), 267 nucleotides long. RefSeq lists it as uncharacterized. The record is from RefSeq and is a predicted model, not a curated record. NCBI's taxonomy places the organism in Eukaryota, Metazoa, Arthropoda, Insecta, Lepidoptera, Crambidae. The transcript has 2 exons.